Molecule: long non-coding RNA, 797 nt
Organism: Sapajus apella (tufted capuchin)
Lineage: Eukaryota; Metazoa; Chordata; Mammalia; Primates; Cebidae
Exons: 2
Source: RefSeq, a predicted model, not a curated record
GAGCUGCUUUUGUGCACUUCGGUCCACCUCUGCAGGUGCCCUUUGUCUCUGGGUCCUACCCUGACCUCUCCCGGGUACUCACAGAGUCUGCGUACUGGGCGGUUAGCAUUAUCAGCUGCCUCUUGAACACAGAUGAAGAUGUCCACCUCUUUGUGAUGACCUCAGCUCUUACCUGUACAUCAAGACUAUUCUGGUAAGCAAUUGGGAGCUUGAGUCCUAAUUUUAGAUUCUCAAAUGAUAAAGAGCCUGACUGGCCCAUAUUGUCUCAGGUAUCUGUCUACUCCUUGUCUAAUCCACCAUGGUGAGACAGGUAGAAACUUUGUAUAUCAUAACCUAGGCUGGUGGGGCCAACACUGUGGGUAGAAUCAUUCCCAGUUAAGGGGUUAUGUGGGUGAGGCAUGUCAAAAAUAUCUCCCGCAUCUACCUUUGUCAAGGUAUUAUGUAAUGAGAAGAUCAUUGAUGACACUAAUCCUGAAUAGGUACAAUUUGGGGGAAAAUGUGUUGAAACCUUAACCCCAAUGUUACUGUUUUUGAAAAUUGGGCCUUUAAGGAGGUAGUUAAGGUUAAAUUAGGCCACAUAUGAAGUUCUAAUUCAACAUAAUGGAGGUCAUUGUAAGAAGAGAGAGAAACCAUGUAUGUGCUCAUACAGGAAAAAGCCUAUUUGAGGAUACAGAGAAAAGAUGGACAUCUGCAAGCCAAAGACAGAGACCUUAGGAGAACCCAAACUUGCUGACACCUUGAUCUUGGACUUACAGCCUUCAGAACUGUGAGAAAUAAAUUUUUGUUGUUUAAGUCAC